RNAcentral lists this ribosomal RNA (253 nucleotides) under uncultured bacterium. Its description in RNAcentral is "partial 16S ribosomal RNA". It matches the Rfam family "Bacterial small subunit ribosomal RNA", at positions 524 to 776 of the family's 1533-position model. The record is from RNAcentral.
UACGUAGGUGGCAAGCGUUGUCCGGAUUUACUGGGUGUAAAGGGCGUGCAGCCGGAGAGACAAGUCAGAUGUGAAAUCCACGGGCUCAACUCGUGAACUGCAUUUGAAACUGUUUCCCUUGAGUGUCGGAGAGGUAAUCGGAAUUCCUUGUGUAGCGGUGAAAUGCGUAGAUAUAAGGAAGAACACCAGUGGCGAAGGCGGAUUACUGGACAGUAACUGACGUUGAGGCUCGAAAGCGUGGGGAGCAAACAGG